GCUCAGAUUGCACGCUGGCGGCAGGCCUAACACAUGCAAGUCGAGCGGUAGCACAGAGAGCUUGCUCUCGGGUGACGAGCGGCGGACGGGUGAGUAAUGUCUGGGAAACUGCCUGAUGGAGGGGGAUAACUACUGGAAACGGUAGCUAAUACCGCAUAACGUCGCAAGACCAAAGUGGGGGACCUUCGGGCCUCAUGCCAUCAGAUGUGCCCAGAUGGGAUUAGCUAGUAGGUGGGGUAACGGCUCACCUAGGCGACGAUCCCUAGCUGGUCUGAGAGGAUGACCAGCCACACUGGAACUGAGACACGGUCCAGACUCCUACGGGAGGCAGCAGUGGGGAAUAUUGCACAAUGGGCGCAAGCCUGAUGCAGCCAUGCCGCGUGUGUGAAGAAGGCCUUCGGGUUGUAAAGCACUUUCAGCGGGGAGGAAGGCGUUAAGGUUAAUAACCUUGGCGAUUGACGUUACCCGCAGAAGAAGCACCGGCUAACUCCGUGCCAGCAGCCGCGGUAAUACGGAGGGUGCAAGCGUUAAUCGGAAUUACUGGGCGUAAAGCGCACGCAGGCGGUCUGUCAAGUCGGAUGUGAAAUCCCCGGGCUCAACCUGGGAACUGCAUUCGAAACUGGCAGGCUAGAGUCUUGUAGAGGGGGGUAGAAUUCCAGGUGUAGCGGUGAAAUGCGUAGAGAUCUGGAGGAAUACCGGUGGCGAAGGCGGCCCCCUGGACAAAGACUGACGCUCAGGUGCGAAAGCGUGGGGAGCAAACAGGAUUAGAUACCCUGGUAGUCCACGCCGUAAACGAUGUCGAUUUGGAGGUUGUGCCCUUGAGGCGUGGCUUCCGGAGCUAACGCGUUAAAUCGACCGCCUGGGGAGUACGGCCGCAAGGUUAAAACUCAAAUGAAUUGACGGGGGCCCGCACAAGCGGUGGAGCAUGUGGUUUAAUUCGAUGCAACGCGAAGAACCUUACCUGGUCUUGACAUCCACAGAACUUUCCAGAGAUGGAUUGGUGCCUUCGGGAACUGUGAGACAGGUGCUGCAUGGCUGUCGUCAGCUCGUGUUGUGAAAUGUUGGGUUAAGUCCCGCAACGAGCGCAACCCUUAUCCUUUGUUGCCAGCGGUCCGGCCGGGAACUCAAAGGAGACUGCCAGUGAUAAACUGGAGGAAGGUGGGGAUGACGUCAAGUCAUCAUGGCCCUUACGACCAGGGCUACACACGUGCUACAAUGGCAUAUACAAAGAGAAGCGACCUCGCGAGAGCAAGCGGACCUCAUAAAGUAUGUCGUAGUCCGGAUUGGAGUCUGCAACUCGACUCCAUGAAGUCGGAAUCGCUAGUAAUCGUAGAUCAGAAUGCUACGGUGAAUACGUUCCCGGGCCUUGUACACACCGCCCGUCACACCAUGGGAGUGGGUUGCAAAAGAAGUAGGUAGCUUAACCUUCGGGAGGGCGCUUACCACUUUGUGAUUCA
RNAcentral lists this ribosomal RNA (1457 nucleotides) under uncultured organism. RNAcentral describes it as "SSU rRNA". It matches the Rfam family "Bacterial small subunit ribosomal RNA". The record is from RNAcentral.